GAUGAACGCUGGCGGCGUGCCUAAUACAUGCAAGCCGAGCGAACAGAUGAGAAGCUUGCUUCUCUGAUGUUAGCGGCGGACGGGUGAGUAACACGUGGGUAACCUACCUAUAAGACUGGGAUAACUCCGGGAAACCGGGGCUAAUACCGGAUAAUAUUUUGAACCGCAUGGUUCAAUAGUGAAAGACGGUUUCGGCUGUCACUUAUAGAUGGACCCGCGCCGUAUUGGCUAGUUGGUAAGGUAACGGCUUACCAAGGCGACGAUACGUAGCCGAACUGAGAGGGUGAUGGGCCACACUGGAACGGAGACACGGUCCAGACUCCUACGGGAGGCAGGAGUAGGGAAGCUUCCGAAAUGGGAGAAAGCCUGACGGAGCAACGCCGCGUGAGUGAUGAAGUUCUUCGGAUCGUAAAACUCUGUUGUUAGGGAAGAACAAAUUUGUUAGUAACUGAACAAGUCUUGACGGUACCUAACCAGAAAGCCACGGCUAACUACGUGCCAGCCGCCGCCGUAA
Molecule: ribosomal RNA, 514 nt
Filed under: uncultured bacterium
Lineage: Bacteria
Description: partial 16S ribosomal RNA
Rfam family: Bacterial small subunit ribosomal RNA
Source: RNAcentral